GAUGAACGCUGGCGGCGUGCCUAAUACAUGCAAGUCGAGCGAACAGACGAGGAUCUUGCUCCUCUGACGUUAGCGGCGGACGGGUGAGUAACACGUGGAUAACCUACCUAUAAGACUGGGAUAACUUCGGGAAACCGGAGCUAAUACCGGAUAAUAUAUUGAACCGCAUGGUUCAAUAGUGAAAGACGGUUUUGCUGUCACUUAUAGAUGGAUCCGCGCCGCAUUAGCUAGUUGGUAAGGUAACGGCUUACCAAGGCAACGAUGCGUAGCCGACCUGAGAGGGUGAUCGGCCACACUGGAACUGAGACACGGUCCAGACUCCUACGGGAGGCAGCAGUAGGGAAUCUUCCGCAAUGGGCGAAAGCCUGACGGAGCAACGCCGCGUGAGUGAUGAAGGUCUUCGGAUCGUAAAACUCUGUUAUUAGGGAAGAACAAAUGUGUAAGUAACUAUGCACGUCUUGACGGUACCUAAUCAGAAAGCCACGGCUAACUACGCG
RNAcentral lists this ribosomal RNA (497 nucleotides) under uncultured bacterium. RNAcentral's name for it is "partial 16S ribosomal RNA". It matches the Rfam family "Bacterial small subunit ribosomal RNA", at positions 28 to 507 of the family's 1533-position model. The record is from RNAcentral.